This 253-nucleotide ribosomal RNA is filed under the name uncultured bacterium. RNAcentral's name for it is "partial 16S ribosomal RNA". It matches the Rfam family "Bacterial small subunit ribosomal RNA", at positions 524 to 776 of the family's 1533-position model. The record is from RNAcentral.
UACGUAGGGGGCAAGCGUUGUCCGGAUUUAUUGGGCGUAAAGAGCGUGUAGGCGGCCUGAAAGGUCAGCUGUGAAAACUCGAGGCUCAACCUCGAGACGUCGGUUGAAACCAUCUGGCUAGAGUCCGGAAGAGGAGUGUGGAAUUCCCGGUGUAGCGGUGAAAUGCGCAGAUAUCGGGAAGAACACCCGUGGCGAAGGCGGCACUCUGGGACGGUACUGACGCUGAGACGCGAAAGCGUGGAGAGCGAACAGG